UACGUAGGGUGCGAGCGUUAAUCGGAAUUACUGGGCGUAAAGCGUGCGCAGGCGGUUCGUUGUGUCUGAUGUGAAAGCCCCGGGCUCAACCUGGGAAUGGCAUUGGAAACUGGCGAGCUAGAGUGUGGCAGAGGGGGGUGGAAUUCCGCGUGUAGCAGUGAAAUGCGUAGAUAUCAGGAGGAAUACCGAUGGCGAAGGCAGGUCUCUGGGCUAUAACUGACGCUCAUGCACGAAAGCGUGGGGAGCAAACAGG
RNAcentral lists this ribosomal RNA (253 nucleotides) under uncultured bacterium. Its description in RNAcentral is "partial 16S ribosomal RNA". It matches the Rfam family "Bacterial small subunit ribosomal RNA", at positions 524 to 776 of the family's 1533-position model. The record is from RNAcentral.